GACGAACGCUGGCGGCGUGCCUAAUACAUGCAAGUCGAACGCACUCUCGUUUAGAUUGAAGGAGCUUGCUCCUGAUUGAUAAACAUUUGAGUGAGUGGCGGACGGGUGAGUAACACGUGGGUAACCUGCCCUAAAGUGGGGGAUAACAUUUGGAAACAGAUGCUAAUACCGCAUAAAACCUAAACACCGCAUGGUGUAGGGUUGAAAGAUGGUUUCGGCUAUCACUUUAGGAUGGACCCGCGGUGCAUUAGUUAGUUGGUGAGGUAAAGGGCUCACCAAGACCGUGAUGCAUAGCCGACCUGAGAGGGUAAUCGGCCACACUGGGACUGAGACACGGCCCAGACUCCUACGGGAGGCAGCAGUAGGGAAUCUUCCACAAUGGACGAAAGUCUGAUGGAGCAACGCCGCGUGAGUGAAGAAGGUUUCGGAUCGUAAACUCUGUUGUUGGAGAAGAAUGUAUCUGAUAGUAACUGAUCAGGUAGUGACGGUAUCC
Molecule: ribosomal RNA, 493 nt
Filed under: uncultured bacterium
Lineage: Bacteria
Description: bacterial SSU rRNA
Rfam family: Bacterial small subunit ribosomal RNA
Source: RNAcentral